Molecule: small nuclear RNA, 259 nt
Filed under: Erinaceus europaeus (western European hedgehog)
Lineage: Eukaryota; Metazoa; Chordata; Mammalia; Eulipotyphla; Erinaceidae
Description: 7SK RNA
Rfam family: 7SK RNA
About the family: 7SK was discovered as an abundant small nuclear RNA in the mid-70s but a possible function has only recently been suggested. Two independent studies have found that 7SK RNA binds the CDK9/cyclin T complex (known as elongation factor P-TEFb). P-TEFb activates transcription by phosphorylating the C-terminal domain of RNA polymerase II.
Source: Rfam by way of RNAcentral
GGAUGUAAGGGCGACAUCUGUCACCCAGCUGAUCUGGCCAGCUAGGCGGGUGUCCCCUUCCUCCCUCACCACCGCUCCACGUGUAUCCCUCCGGAAGCUGCGCUCGCUAGUGGAAGAGGACAGCCUUCCCCAAAUAGAGACAGACUUCUUGGGUCUGUGCUCCCCUGCUAGGCCCUACAAACAAGCUCUCCAGAUAUCCUGAAAGAUUAGCGUGAGCAUUAACUGCUCAAAACAUAUUCCAAAAGCUGUUUACCAUUUG